RNAcentral lists this ribosomal RNA (253 nucleotides) under uncultured bacterium. RNAcentral's name for it is "partial 16S ribosomal RNA". It matches the Rfam family "Bacterial small subunit ribosomal RNA", at positions 524 to 776 of the family's 1533-position model. The record is from RNAcentral.
UACGUAGGGUGCGAGCGUUGUCCGGAAUUACUGGGCGUAAAGAGCUCGUAGGUGGUUUGUCGCGUUGUUCGUGAAAACUCACAGCUCAACUGUGGGCGUGCGGGCGAUACGGGCAGACUGGAGUACUGCAGGGGAGACUGGAAUUCCUGGUGUAGCGGUGAAAUGCGUAGAUAUCAGGAGGAACACCGGUGGCGAAGGCGGCUCUCUGGACGGUGACUGACGCUGAGACGCGAAAGCGUGGGGAGCAAACAGG